Papio anubis (olive baboon) is the source of this 117-nucleotide non-coding RNA. The record is from Rfam. Lineage: Eukaryota; Metazoa; Chordata; Mammalia; Primates; Cercopithecidae.
GCCGGGCGUGGUGGCUCACGCCUGUAAUCCUACCACUUUAGGAGGCCGAGGUGGGUGGAUCACCUGAGGUCAGGAGUUCAAGACCAGCCUGGCCAACAUGGUGAAACCCUGUCUCUA